GUGCUUUAGCCAGGUACCGUCAUCACCACGAAUGGCUUAUUCGUCCCUGAUUAGUGAAUUUUACAAUCCGAAGACCUUCAUCAUUCACGCGGCGUCGCUGCGUCAGGCUUUCGCCCAUUGCGCAAGAUUCUUA
This 133-nucleotide ribosomal RNA is filed under the name uncultured bacterium. RNAcentral's name for it is "partial 16S ribosomal RNA". The record is from RNAcentral.